RNAcentral lists this ribosomal RNA (497 nucleotides) under uncultured bacterium. RNAcentral's name for it is "partial 16S ribosomal RNA". It matches the Rfam family "Bacterial small subunit ribosomal RNA", at positions 28 to 507 of the family's 1533-position model. The record is from RNAcentral.
GAUGAACGCUGGCGGCGUGCCUAAUACAUGCAAGUCGAGCGAACAGACGAGGAACUUGCUCCUCUGACGUUAGCGGCGGACGGGUGAGUAACACGUGGAUAACCUACCUAUAAGACUGGGAUAACUUCGGGAAACCGGAGCUAAUACCGGAUAAUAUAUUGAACCGCAUGGUUCAAUAGUGAAAGACGGUUUUGCUGUCACUUAUAGAUGGAUCCGCGCCGCAUUAGCUAGUUGGUAAGGUAACGGCUUACCAAGGCAACGAUGCGUAGCCGACCUGAGAGGGUGAUCGGCCACACUGGAACUGAGACACGGUCCAGACUCCUACGGGAGGCAGCAGUAGGGAAUCUUCCGCAAUGGGCGAAAGCCUGACGGAGCAACGCCGCGUGAGUGAUGAAGGUCUUCGGAUCGUAAAACUCUGUUAUUAGGGAAGAAUAAAUGUGUAAGUAACUAUGCACGUCUUGACGGUACCUAAUCAGAAAGCCACGGCUAACUACGUG